AUACAGAGGGUGCAAGCGUUAUUCGGAAUCACUGGGCGUAAAGGACGCGUAGGCGGGUUGGCAAGUCAGAUGUGAAAUCCUACAGCUUAACUGUAGAACUGCAUUUGAAACUGCUAACCUAGAGUAUGGGAGGGGGAGAUGGAAUUAGUGGUGUAGGGGUAAAAUCCGUAGAUAUCACUAGGAAUACCGAAAGCGAAGGCGAUCUCCUGGAACAUAACUGACGCUAAGGCGUGAAAGCGUGGGGAGCAAACAGGAUUAGAUACCCCAGUAGUCC
Molecule: ribosomal RNA, 274 nt
Filed under: uncultured bacterium
Lineage: Bacteria
Description: partial 16S ribosomal RNA
Rfam family: Bacterial small subunit ribosomal RNA
Source: RNAcentral